Molecule: non-coding RNA, 94 nt
Organism: Auriculariales sp. MPI-PUGE-AT-0066
Lineage: Eukaryota; Fungi; Basidiomycota; Agaricomycetes; Auriculariales
Source: the annotation of a GenBank genome assembly
GAAGCCUUAGUUCAGUGGUAGAAUGCAUGAUUCCAGUGACGUGUCAAAACCUCAGGAAUCCAUGUGGUCACAGGUUCAAUCCCUGUAGGCUUCA